RNAcentral lists this ribosomal RNA (327 nucleotides) under uncultured eukaryote. RNAcentral describes it as "partial 18S ribosomal RNA". It matches the Rfam family "Eukaryotic small subunit ribosomal RNA", at positions 1470 to 1796 of the family's 1831-position model. The record is from RNAcentral.
CCCUUAGAUGUCCGGGGCCGCACGCGCGCUACAAUGGAUGAAUCAACGCGUCAUCCUGGCCCGAAAGGGUUGGGGAGCCGCUGAACCUCAUCCGUGGUUGGGAUUGGGGUUUGUAAUUAUUCCCCAUGAACUAGGAAUUCCCAGUAAGCGCGAGUCAUAAGCUCGCGUUGAUUACGUCCCUGCCCUUUGUACACACCGCCCGUCGCUACUACCGAUUGGAUGGUUUAGUGAGAUCCUCGGAUUGGUCACGGCACGGUGGCAACACUGCGUCGGUGUGCCGAGAAGACGAUCAAACUUGAUCAUCUAGAGGAAGUAAAAGUCGUAACA